Non-coding RNA from Salvia hispanica, 3395 nucleotides. The record is from RefSeq and is a predicted model, not a curated record. Lineage: Eukaryota; Viridiplantae; Streptophyta; Magnoliopsida; Lamiales; Lamiaceae.
UCUCAAACACAACCAAACACACUAGCAAGGAUGUUGAUAAAUUUGAAAAAGUUGAUAGGUGAUCAAAAUGAAUUUCAAGUUCAACCCAUAUUUUCAAUUUCAAUGGUGUGGCUAGUUUUGGCCUCAGCUUCAAUCAUGUCUCUCAUUAUAUGGAAAUGUGCACAUGGUGUUCAACAAAAAGAAGCCGACGCCGCUGAAGUCUACGGCGGAAGCAGUUGCGCCGCCGCCUGUGGUGCUGGUUGCGGUGCAUGAUUAUCGUAUUGCAUGUUUUCAUAACAUUGAAGGUUACAUUCUCAAAUUCAAAAGCUAUCAAAAUACAAUUGUGUAGUCCAAGGAUCAAGCUCCUAAUUUUGAGAUACAAAUGAACAUUACUAAUACACAAAAGGGAGUUCAACAGAGCUGGCUCACUAUUGAGCACACGUAAGCAAGGUGAAGCUUAGCUCGGUGCUGCAGAUGCACUUCGUGAGCUCGCGGGCUUGAAAUAAAUGCCUGCACAUGCAUUAGCACGAGCACGACUAACACACACGCUGCUGUUACCCAAUGGCAUUGCACCAUGUGGCAAUUAGGUUGUUUUUUAAAAUUUGAAAAUCGGGUUAUUGUGUAAUGCAAUGGCUCUUUUUUAAAUUCUCAGCGGAUACCUCUUUUUCAUCUAUAUAUAAUAUAUAUGUCCACAGUCCACAUUCCCACUCUAUUUUCUUUUUCUCUAAAGUCACUCUUAAUCCUCUCAAAAUUAUCUUUUUUUUCUCUAAAUUCACUCUUAAUCAUCUCAAAAUUCUCUCCAAGUUGUACAAUGGAUCCAAACAACACAACCUGCCCAAUCCAACUAGAAAAGUAUCUUAGAUAUAUUAAAGUGAAUCCUAAUAUUUUCAACUUCGAAGAUAAUUUUCUAACUCUUCCAAGCCCCGUAGUUGGAACACAAUCACUACGCAUUAUGUCUCAUAGGACCAAUAGAACAUAUAACUCAUAUGCUCUGACUUUGUGCGGGAUAAUAUGAAGUCCAUAAAUUAUGCUUCAUCUACAAGGCUACAACCAUGUCGAAUCAUAAUAGAAGAUCAGCUAUAGUAUAAGAUCGAAAUGAUAACGUCUAUCGAAGUGAGAACGUGUGAUCCUUCGAGAGCCUAGGAAGAAGGUGAGCAUACAAAUGGGCAACAAAGAGGCACCAAUGCACAGAAGCGAUCUAAGAAUACCUCCGAUCCAAUGUAAGAUCAGACGGGGUGAAUAAUAACUCAACUAGAGCACAUAGUCAUAUGGGUCACAAUACCAUUUUUUGCUUUAGAGAUGAACAAUAUGAGAGUAAGUAAAGGUAGAGCGAACGGAAAAGCCAAUAAGAAUGGAUUAUUGCACUGUCAUAUUUUUGAUUAAUCUAAAAAAUUCUAAAACACAUACUAGUAUUUAAAACAAUUAUGAAACUAUAGUAGUACUAGUAGUACACUAUAUUUAAAAAAAAAAAUUGGCUUAAAAAUGUAUCCAAAAUUAAAAAGAGAGUGACUGAGUGAGUGUCCAUUGGCGAAGCUUCAACAAUGGCUGCCUUCUUCUACUCAUCUCUCAAACCCUCCACCAUUCCUCUCCAUCACCUCCCCUUCUCCCCCCAACCACGAGCUGUCUCCACCGCCGCCACCUCUCCCGCCCAAAACCUCCGAAUAGUAUUCGCCGCCGGUGGCACAGGCGGCCACAUCUACCCCGCCAUCGCCAUAGCAGACCACCUCAAAACCCUCCACCCCAACGCCCAAUUCCUCUUCGUCGGAACCCCCACCGGAAUGGAGGCCACAGCCGUCCCCUCCGCCGGAUUCCCCUUCACCCCCGCCCCCGCCGUCCCUCUCCGCCGCCCCUUCCUCUCUCUCCACAAUCUCUUCCUCCUCCCCUUCAUCCUCGCCAGCUCAAUCCUGCACAAUCUCAGAAUCCUCCAACAAUUCGACCCCCACAUCGUCAUCGGCACCGGAGGCUUCGUCUCCUUCCCCACUUGCCUCGCCGCCGCCCUCACAGGCGUCAAGCUCAUCAUACAAGAGCAGAACUCCGCCCUCGGAAUCGCAAAUUUGGUUCUUUCCUUGUUCGCUCACAAAAUCUGCGUGGCCUUCGAUUCCAGCGUCGACUGUUUUUUCAGGAGGGAUAAGUGCGUUGUCUGUGGGAAUCCAGUGAGGUUGUCGUUGAUGAAUGGGGCGUCGAAGGAGGCGGGAAGAAAGCGUUUCUUCCCGGGAGCGGAGGUGGAGAAGGUGGUGGUUGUUCUUGGAGGGUCAUUAGGUGCUUAUGCGAUCAACGUUGCUAUGGUCAAUGUGUAUUGCCAGUUGUUGUCUGAGAAUGAUGGACUCUUUGUUAUAUGGCAGACGGGGAUGGACGCCUUCCCGGAGAUGGAGAGCCUUGUGAAGAGUCAUCCUGGGCUACUUCUUUCUCCAUUCUUGAAUGAUGUGGAUUUGGCGUACGCUGCUGCAGACCUUGUUGUUUCGAGGGCUGGGGCAAUGACCUGCUCUGAGAUCCUAGCGACUGGGAAGCCUUCUAUCUUGAUACCGUCACCACAUGCUGCCGAGGGACACCAGUUAAAAAAUGCUCAACUCAUGGCCAACGUAGCUGGUUCGAGGGUUAUAACGGAAGAUGAACUCGACUCAGCAACCCUUAGAAAUGCAAUCCAAGGAAUUAUCGAUAACGAUAGUUUGAUGGAAGAGAUGUCUGAGAGGGCUUUGAAAGCUGCCAAAACAAAGGCCUCUGCUGAGAUAGCCGAACUUAUCAUCUCCCUAACCUCUGAAGUAACUUGAGUUCUUGAAGGACUACUGAAAAUAUAUUCACCUGUUUUCAGUAAACAGCAGGAUUUCCUCUCUGAUCAUUGUCAUUUGCUUCCCUUCUUGAUGAACUUGUGUAGCAUCAAGUGACAUGUCACACCAUUUCUUGAAGAGAGAGCACGAAUGCGGAUCACCUAUACUUGAAUCUGGGAAACACUGGCCUCUGAUUCACUUUUUUGACAGUUCUGUGGCACGAAACUGCAGUGAAACAUCCUUCUUGCAAUCAUCCAGUAGCUUCUUCUUUUGUCGAAGAGUUGUCGGGAAGAAUCUGGGAAACUAAGGAUGUGCUUGUAUCCGGGUUCAGGGAAGUGGUUGAAAGCCUCCGGCCAUUGUACAAAGACACAUUGAAGGGUUUCAGUUUCUUUAUGAGGUAUAUGCUAUCAGACAACUCAGUAGGAAAAGUGUGCGGGGAGACGCGUUCUGUGUCAUACAAACGGGCAUGUUGGAAGGCAGACAACGCUUGUUUGAAAGGUGUCAUCUUCAGCAAGAACAGAACCUGCAAAAUAUUGGAACAUGGAAAUCAUUCCUUUAGAUUUAUCAAUUUUAUCCCAAUUUUAUAAAUUGUACUAAUAAUUUUUAGAUAAUUAUAAUUAUAAAAAUAAAAAUAAUUUCAAGGGAAUAUGU